UUAGUUAAGUGAAUAAGGGCGCACGGUGGAUGCCUUGGCACUAGGAGCCGAUGAAGGACGGGACUAACACCGAUAUGCCUCGGGGAGUUGUAAGUAAACUUAGAUUCGAGGAUUUCCGAAUGGGGAAACCCACUGUUCGUAAUGGAACAGGACUUAUGUCUGAAUACAUAGGGCAUAAGAGGCACACCCAGGGAACUGAAACAUCUCAGUACCUGGAGGAAGAGAAAGCAAAUGCGAUUUCCCAAGUAGCGGCGAGCGAAACGGAAACAGCCCAAACCAGAGAGCUUGCUCUCUGGGGUUGUAGGACACUCCACAAGGAGUUACAAAGAAAUUCUUUAGAUGAAUCAACCUGGAAAGGUUAGCC
Molecule: ribosomal RNA, 364 nt
Filed under: Bacilli bacterium
Lineage: Bacteria; Bacillati; Bacillota; Bacilli
Description: bacterial LSU rRNA
Rfam family: Bacterial large subunit ribosomal RNA
Source: RNAcentral